RNAcentral lists this ribosomal RNA (433 nucleotides) under uncultured bacterium. Its description in RNAcentral is "partial 16S ribosomal RNA". It matches the Rfam family "Bacterial small subunit ribosomal RNA", at positions 29 to 507 of the family's 1533-position model. The record is from RNAcentral.
AACGAACGCUGGCGGCAUGCCUAACACAUGCAAGUCGAACGAGACCUUCGGGUCUGGUGGCGCACGGGUGCGUAACGCGUGGGAACCUGCCCUUAGGUUCGGAAUAACUCCCCGAAAGGGGUGCUAAUACCGGAUAAUGUCUUCGGACCAAAGAUUUAUCGCCUUUGGAUGGGCCCGCGUUGGAUUAGCUUGUUGGUAGGGUAAAAGCCUACCACGGCGACGAUACAUAGCUGGUCUGAGAGGAUGAUCAGCCACACUGGGACUGAGACACGGCCCAGACUCCUGCGGGAGGCAGCAGUGGGGAAUAUAGGACAAUGGGCGAAAGCCUGAUCCAGCAAGGCCGCGUGAGUGAUGAAGGCCUUAGGGUUGUAAAGCUCUUUUACCCGGGAUGAUAAUGACAGUACCGGGAGAAUAAGCUCCGGCUAACUCCGUG